This is a non-coding RNA of Schizosaccharomyces pombe (fission yeast), 1215 nucleotides long. NCBI's taxonomy places the organism in Eukaryota, Fungi, Ascomycota, Schizosaccharomycetes, Schizosaccharomycetales, Schizosaccharomycetaceae. The record is from the annotation of a GenBank genome assembly.
ACCGGAUCAACCAUUCCUUGGUUUUCAGAACCAAGUCCCUUCCCCCGAGACCAACCCAUCAUUUCUAAAAGUUGUUUUCCUUUGCCAUUAUUUAUAGCGGGAGCGCUAGAACCAACAACAUGACCGUCCAUACGCUUUUUUGUAUUGGUUGACACACUUCCUUCCUGUAUUUGCACGCGUUUCCUUUUUUUCAAACCUUUAGGAGUCAUUUCAACAAGUUUGGAUUUUCUUUUCUUUGACAAUUUCACGUCAGUUUGAAGUGCAAAAUGACGAUCAUACUCAAUCAUGCUCAACGAAGUCUCUUCUUCCGCAAUGUGGCUCAUAUAAUCUAGUUCCACUUCUUUUCUCCUUUCACCAAACAGCAUUUCAUAUUUUUCUAAAGCAUCCUCAUUGCUCAAGUGCUUCGAUGGCUUCUUUUUUGGUUGAACAAUCUUUGGCUUCCUUGGAGGAGGUUUUGGAGAUGCCUCUACAUUUUCCCAUUGAGAAGAUGUAAUAAAAGAACCGUCUUCCACAAUAAUUGCCAUUGUAUUAAUAAAUGUUCGAAAAUUCAGCAAAUUUACAAAAACCAGCCUGAGUUGGCAUUGGUGCUAUAAAGAAUGCACAACCCAAGAAACUUAAAUUUUAUGAGAUCAAGGAUAAUAAUAGGGAUUUAUUAAAAUCAAGCCUGACUAUUCCACAAAUUCGCUCUCAAUUAUAAAAGUUUUGUUCGUGCAGUAUAGCUUGCUACUAUAAACCAAGUGUGACUUGGUUGAUGAAUAAUUGUUACUUUGGGUAAGUAAAUACUAUCGCAGUGGUUUUGAUCAAUUAUUAGCAAUACCCUGAUAGAAAGGCUCAAAUAUAAUUUUGCAUGUUAAAAAUACUAGAAUUCUUCAAUGCUGUCCGGCAAAAAUUUCUUCAAACAAUCAAGUUUUAAGUUGACGCCGCAAGAUGUCUUUCAUUUUCUUAAAAGAAAAAAAACAAGCUAGGUCAUCAAUAAAAUAAUAUGAUACUGGAAAUAAACAUUCUCUGAUGCACAUUUACUAAUCUUUCCGUCUGCAAGUUUCAUAACCUCAUAUUAGGAAACCAACUACCCUGCAUGGAUUAAUAUUUAGACCUUAGACUACAAUUUGAACAAUGUUCUUCAAACACACCUUUUCUAAUCACUAGAAUAACAGGUCCAAACAUUUGUACCAUACAUUCCGUAUGCACACUACUAAACAAAAUCCCUUUAUUCAC